UGAGGAAUAUUGGACAAUGGGCGCAAGCCUGAUCUAGCCAUGCCGCGUGCAGGAAGAAGCAUCUAUGGUGUGUAAACUGCUUUUGUACGGAGCGAAAAGGUCUGCCCUAAUACGGUGGGCUCAUGACGGUACCGUAAGAAUAAGGAUCGGCUAACUCCGUGCCAGCAGCCGCGGUAAUACGGAGGAUCCAAGCGUUAUCCGGAAUCAUUGGGUUUAAAGGGUCCGUAGGCGGUUUAAUAAGUCAGUGGUGAAAGCCCAUCGCUCAACGAUGGAACGGCCAUUGAUACUGUUAGACUUGAAUUACAAGGAAGUAACUAGAAUAUGUAGUGUAGCGGUGAAAUGCUUAGAUAUUACAUGGAAUACCAAUUGCGAAGGCAGGUUACUACUUGUGGAUUGACGCUGAUGGACGAAAGCGUGGGGAGCGAACA
This 428-nucleotide ribosomal RNA is filed under the name uncultured bacterium. RNAcentral describes it as "bacterial SSU rRNA". It matches the Rfam family "Bacterial small subunit ribosomal RNA", at positions 355 to 774 of the family's 1533-position model. The record is from RNAcentral.